Molecule: ribosomal RNA, 253 nt
Filed under: uncultured bacterium
Lineage: Bacteria
Description: partial 16S ribosomal RNA
Rfam family: Bacterial small subunit ribosomal RNA
Source: RNAcentral
UACGAAGGGGGCUAGCGUUGUUCGGAAUCACUGGGCGUAAAGCGCACGUCGGCGGACUGUUAAGUCAGGGGUGAAAUCCUGGGGCUCAACCCCAGAACUGCCUUUGAUACUGGCGGUCUUGAGUGUGGGAGAGGUUGGUGGAACUCCGAGUGUAGAGGUGAAAUUCGUAGAUAUUCGGAAGAACACCAGUGGGGAAGGCGGACAACUGGCCCAUUACUGACGCUGAGGUGCGAAAGCGUGGGGAGCAAACAGG